This 253-nucleotide ribosomal RNA is filed under the name uncultured bacterium. RNAcentral's name for it is "partial 16S ribosomal RNA". It matches the Rfam family "Bacterial small subunit ribosomal RNA", at positions 524 to 776 of the family's 1533-position model. The record is from RNAcentral.
UACGAAGGGGGCGAGCGUUGUUCGGAAUUACUGGGCGUAAAGGGCGCGCAGGCGGCUCUGAAAGUCAGAUGUGAAAUCCCUCGGCUUAACCGGGGAACUGCGUCUGAUACUGGAUGGCUUGAGUUUGGGAGAGGGACGCGGAAUUCCAGGUGUAGCGGUGAAAUGCGUAGAUAUCUGGAGGAACACCGGUGGCGAAGGCGGCGUCCUGGACCAACACUGACACUGAUGAGCGAAAGCCAGGGGAGCAAACGGG